RNAcentral lists this ribosomal RNA (497 nucleotides) under uncultured bacterium. Its description in RNAcentral is "partial 16S ribosomal RNA". It matches the Rfam family "Bacterial small subunit ribosomal RNA", at positions 28 to 507 of the family's 1533-position model. The record is from RNAcentral.
GACGAACGCUGGCGGCGUGCUUAAUACAUGCAAGUCGAGCGAACGAACGAGAAGCUUGCUUCUCUGAUGUUAGCGGCGGAGGGGUGAGUAACACGUGGAUAACCCCCCUAUAAGACCGUGAUAACUUCGGAACACCGGUGAUAAUACCGGAUGAUAUUUUGAAACGCAUGGUUCAUAGGUGAAAGACGGUCUUGCUGUCAUUUAUCGAUGGCUCCGCGCUGAAUUAGCUAGUUGGUAAGUUAACGGCGUACCAAGGCAACGAUGCAUAGCCGACCUGAGAGGGUGAGCGGCCACACUGGCACAGAGACACGGUCCAGACGCCUACGGGAGGAAGCAGUAGGGAAGCAUCCGCAAUGGGCGAAUGCCUGACGGAGCAACGCCGCGUGAGUGAUGAAGGGCUUCGGAGCGUAAACCUCUGUUAUUAGGGAAGAACAUAUGUGUAAGUAACUGUGCACAUCUUGACGGUACCUAAUCAGAAAGCCACGGCUAACUACGUG